Non-coding RNA from Paralichthys olivaceus (Japanese flounder), 582 nucleotides. The record is from RefSeq and is a predicted model, not a curated record. Lineage: Eukaryota; Metazoa; Chordata; Actinopteri; Pleuronectiformes; Paralichthyidae.
AACAUAUAAUAGUCAUCAGGCCAGGAUGAUGGAGGCCGGAAGGUUUGGAUAUUAAGCUGCUCUCAGACAUGCACUGAACUCUGUGCUCAUUUUCCGAGGGGCUGAACGUGAGAAUGCAAAUGUUCGAGUCAGUUGCUCCGAAACCUUUCAUGUCAGGCCCCUGGUAAAAUGUUCCAGAACAUAACUGAACCAGCCCGUGUCUGAAUAGUGAGUGGGUGUGUUCUAACACCUUUUCGAGAGAUUUUGGUGAUCAAGUUCAACGCCAGGUUCAAUGUGGUGUGAAUAAAACAUGUGAAUUCCACAUCAGAAUUUAGACGUUAUGUUUCAUUACUUGUGAAUGCAUGACAACAAUAUUCACUGCUGUGCUAACAUAUGAUUAUUUGUAGGUUGUAGCUGGGUCUCAAGGAAAAUUGGAAUGUGCUGAAGCUGUUUGAUGAAGAGGAGGAAACUAAUACUAAUUUGCUCACUGAAAACUGAAAACAGAUGCCAGCCUGGAAAAUGAUGUUAUGAUUGUGAUGAUACAUAUUUUGUAACAUCAUAACAUGUUGGCUUUUUUUAAAUAAAUUCCUACAGCAUGAUGGA